This 348-nucleotide ribosomal RNA is filed under the name uncultured bacterium. Its description in RNAcentral is "partial 16S ribosomal RNA". It matches the Rfam family "Bacterial small subunit ribosomal RNA", at positions 338 to 703 of the family's 1533-position model. The record is from RNAcentral.
CCUACGGGAGGCAGCAGUGGGGGAUAGUGCACAAUGGGGGAAACCCUGAUGCAGCGACGCCGCGUGAGUGAAGAAGGAGGUCGGUAUGUAAAGCUCGAGCAGCAGGGAAGAAAAUGACAGUACCUGACCAAGAAGCCCCGGCUAACUACGUGCCAGCAGCCGCGGUAAUACGUAGGGGGCAAGCGUUCUCCGGAGUUACUGGGUGUAAAGGGAGCGUAGACGGUUAGGGAAGGCUGGAGUGAAAGCCCGGGGCCCAACCCCGGGUCUGCUUUGGAAACGGUGUAACUGGAGUCCAGGAGGGGCAGGCGUAAUUCCUGGUGUAGCGGUGACAUGCGUAGAUAUCAGGAG